This 850-nucleotide long non-coding RNA is filed under the name Ursus americanus (American black bear). Its description in RNAcentral is "lncRNA (ENSUAMG00000019167.1)". The record is from RNAcentral. Lineage: Eukaryota; Metazoa; Chordata; Mammalia; Carnivora; Ursidae.
AUGGCAGGCUUUGGAAGGAAGACACCUAGCACAGGGAGACAAAAGAUGCAUCCCUGUGCUGGCGGCAGCCCUCCACCAGCCAGGAACACCUGGGGGGUGACGUCCCUGGACGCCAGUCAUGUGGCAAGUGGCCCUUGGAGAAGUCACACUUGGCUCACAGCACUUCCACUCUUUGGGGUAGGGGUCUCGGCCUCACCCCACCUCUUUAGGGGGUCUGGGGAGGGUGCAUGGCCUCCACAGACCCACACAUCUGUCGCCUGCCUGCUCCUCUCCUGUCCACUGACUCAGUCACCAGCCUGCGGAGUGUCAAGAGUUCCACGGGUUUUGGGUAAACUGCGGUCGGAAAGCCUCAGCCAGGGGAGCCGUGCCAGGCUGGCCAUGCAGUGCCUGUUCUCUGAGUGGCGGCCGGUCCUGUUCCCAGCCAGAGUGUUCGGAGCUGGAAGGAAACUUGGAAACAUCUCGUCUGGUGAAGCCUGCUCUCAGGUUCAGUUUGAGAGCCGAGUCUGAAUGGCCCUGAGCACCAUCUCUGCCAAGAGCGUCAUCAGUGUGUCCGAGACUGAGCCGGAGGCCGCUGCCGUGCUCGGGUCUCAGCACCUCCCACCUGGGAACCAGAGAGCCUGAGAACUGAACCCCUGUCCCCAACCCAGCUGGUUGGGAGUCGUGUGGACAGCGGGGGGUCAGCAGGGAGGUGGGACAGGCUCAGAGAGUAUCAAGACAUUUGCCAGCAGAAUGUGGCUUCUUCAGCACUGUGGGUAUUUAAGAAAACAAGCCNGCUUCUGCAGAAGAUAAUUUCUUCUCAUGAAAGAAAACCUGACAAUAAAAUUAAACUUCUUUUCUAGGAACUGAUGCA